Non-coding RNA from Micromonospora nigra, 75 nucleotides. It matches the Rfam family "ASpks TB sRNA". The record is from Rfam. NCBI's taxonomy places the organism in Bacteria, Bacillati, Actinomycetota, Actinomycetes, Micromonosporales, Micromonosporaceae.
CUUCACCGACCCCAACAACAACGGCGCCCGACCGGCACGAUCCUGCCCAUACGUCGCCAACAACGCCUGCGCCUC